GUGCUUGCUCGUCAGCACAUAUACUAAAAUUGAAACAAUACAGAGAAGAUUAGCAUGUCCCCUGCACAAAGGAUGACACUCGAAUUUGUGAAGUGUUCCAUAUUUUU
Cricetulus griseus (Chinese hamster) is the source of this 107-nucleotide small nuclear RNA. NCBI's taxonomy places the organism in Eukaryota, Metazoa, Chordata, Mammalia, Rodentia, Cricetidae. The record is from Ensembl.